ACGAACGCUGGCGGCAGGCUUAACACAUGCAAGUCGAGCGCCCCGCAAGGGGAGCGGCAGACGGGUGAGUAACACGUGGGAACGUACCCUUUUCUACGGAAUAACCCAGGGAAACUUGGACUAAUACCGUAUGUGCCCUUCGGGGGAAAGAUUUAUCGGAAAAGGAUCGGCCCGCGUUGGAUUAGCUAGUUGGUGGGGUAAAGGCCUACCAAGGCGACGAUCCAUAGCUGGUCUGAGAGGAUGAUCAGCCACAUUGGGACUGAGACACGGCCCAAACUCCUACGGGAGGCAGCAGUGGGGAAUAUUGGACAAUGGGCGCAAGCCUGAUCCAGCCAUGCCGCGUGAGUGAUGAAGGCCUUAGGGUUGUAAAGCUCUUUCACCGGAGAAGAUAAUGACGGUAUCCGGAGAAGAAGCCCCGGCUAACUUCGU
Molecule: ribosomal RNA, 429 nt
Filed under: uncultured bacterium
Lineage: Bacteria
Description: bacterial SSU rRNA
Rfam family: Bacterial small subunit ribosomal RNA
Source: RNAcentral